UUGCGACGGGGCUUCCUAUUGGCUGCCUGGUAGGGAGGCGGGAACAUGGACGGAAAGGUCCAGAAAUCACGUGACGUCAGGAGGAGGGGUAGAGAAGAAAACCUGUGAAUGAGCCCAUUAGAGCUAACAUGGCCAAACGUCGUUCGCCUUAUUAAAGAUAUUUGGAGGAUUACACAGCAGAGGUCCCAAGGAGUACCAAGCACAGAUGGAAAGUAAAAGACAGAACUGCAGGACUACACAGAAGAACACAUAAGUCACCCUGUUGCAUCCCGCAGAGAAGUUACAGAUGUUGACAGCAGGAGUUCCUCCACUAUAAGGGUUUUGGACAUUGCCUUUCAACAGGGCUCUGAAGACCAAGCAGAUGGUGACAACCCCCUAUAUCCUGGUGCAUCUUUUUUCAAGGGAUAAAGUCUACUGAUGCUCAUGUUAUAUGUGCUGCGACACAAUUUAACAAGCAAAGCAGUUACUCACUUAUUGGAAAUGUUUAACCUAAAGUUUCCAGGUCUGAUUUUACCCAUUUCCACAAAGAAUUUAGAGGUUCAUCAUAAUCUAAAGUUAACUUUUAUUGUGAAAAAUG
Molecule: long non-coding RNA, 577 nt
Organism: Fundulus heteroclitus (mummichog)
Lineage: Eukaryota; Metazoa; Chordata; Actinopteri; Cyprinodontiformes; Fundulidae
Exons: 3
Source: RefSeq, a predicted model, not a curated record